This 257-nucleotide long non-coding RNA is filed under the name Trifolium pratense (red clover). RNAcentral describes it as "long non-coding RNA (TPRA_LNC009279)". Lineage: Eukaryota; Viridiplantae; Streptophyta; Magnoliopsida; Fabales; Fabaceae. The record is from RNAcentral.
UGUGUUUCCCAAUUUGAUAAAUACUUUAACAUAUAAAAUCAACAAAAUAUCGAUAAUAAUGAUAAUUAAAAUAAGUGAUAAUGAUCAUCAUCAACUCACAACAACUAUGAAGACCGACUAAUUUUGCUCUCCAACGACUCCCAGAGAAGCAUGUGAAGAUUCCGGCGUAAUAUCUGAGUAUCAGUAAUAUUAUAUUUUCUUUAGAUUCACAAGCUCAUUAUAGAACUAUAGUAAUAACAGAUAACCAUGAAAUCUUC